CCUACGGGGGGCAGCAGUGAGGAAUAUUGGUCAAUGGACGCGAGUCUGAACCAGCCAAGUAGCGUGAAGGAUGACUGCCCUAUGGGUUGUAAACUUCUUUUAUAUGGGAAUAAAGUUGUCCACGUGUGGAUUUUUGUAUGUACCAUAUGAAUAAGGAUCGGCUAACUCCGUGCCAGCAGCCGCGGUAAUACGGAGGAUGCGAGCGUUAUCCGGAUUUAUUGGGUUUAAAGGGAGCGCAGACGGGUCGUUAAGUCAGCUGUGAAAGUUUGGGGCUCAACCUUAAAAUUGCAGUUGAUACUGGCGUCCUUGAGUGCGGUUGAGGUGUGCGGAAUUCGUGGUGUAGCGGUGAAAUGCUUAGAUAUCACGAAGAACUCCGAUUGCGAAGGCAGCCUGCUGGACUGUAACUGACGCUGAUGCUCGAAAG
RNAcentral lists this ribosomal RNA (424 nucleotides) under uncultured Blautia sp. Its description in RNAcentral is "bacterial SSU rRNA". It matches the Rfam family "Bacterial small subunit ribosomal RNA", at positions 338 to 759 of the family's 1533-position model. The record is from RNAcentral. Lineage: Bacteria; Bacillati; Bacillota; Clostridia; Lachnospirales; Lachnospiraceae.